This 433-nucleotide ribosomal RNA is filed under the name uncultured bacterium. RNAcentral's name for it is "partial 16S ribosomal RNA". It matches the Rfam family "Bacterial small subunit ribosomal RNA", at positions 29 to 507 of the family's 1533-position model. The record is from RNAcentral.
AACGAACGCUGGCGGCAGGCUUAACACAUGCAAGUCGAGCGAGACCUUCGGGUCUAGCGGCGGAGGGGUGAGUAACGCGUGGGAACGUGCCCUUCUCUACGGAAUAGCCCCGGGAAACUGGGAGUAAUACCGUAUACGCCCAUUGGGGGAAAGAUUUAUCGGGGAAGGAUCGGCCCGCGUUGGAUUAGGUAGUUGGUGGGGUAAUGGCCCGCCAAGCCGACGAUCCAUAGCUGGUGUGAGAGGAUGAUAAGCCACACUGGGACUGAGACACGGCCCAGACUCCUACGCGAGGGAGCAGUGGGGAAUCUUAGACAAUGGGGGCAACCCUGAUCUAGCCAUGCCGCGUGAGUGAUGAAGGCCUUAGGGUUGUAAAGCUCUUUCAGCUGGGAAGAUAAUGACGGUACCAGCAGAAGAAGCCCCGGCUAACUCCGUG